RNAcentral lists this ribosomal RNA (490 nucleotides) under uncultured Entrophospora. Its description in RNAcentral is "SSU rRNA". It matches the Rfam family "Eukaryotic small subunit ribosomal RNA", at positions 569 to 1057 of the family's 1831-position model. The record is from RNAcentral. Lineage: Eukaryota; Fungi; Glomeromycota; Glomeromycetes; Entrophosporales; Entrophosporaceae.
AGCAGCCGCGGUAAUUCCAGCUCCAAUAGCGUAUAUUAAAGUUGUUGCAGUUAAAAAGCUCGUAGUUGAAUUUCGGGAUUGGCGCAUCGGUCGUGCCUCACGGGGUAUGAACUGGUGCAGUCAAUUUCUCACCUUCUGGAGAACCGCGAUGUCCUUAAUUGGAUGCCGCGGGGAACCAGGACCUUUACUUUGAAAAAUUAGAGUGUUUAAAGCAGGCAUUUUUGCUUGAAUACAUUAGCAUGGAAUAAUAAAAUAGGACGGCAUGGUUCUAUUUUGUUGGUUUCUAGGACCACCGUAAUGAUUAAUAGGGAUAGUUGGGGGCAUUAGUAUUCAAUUGUCAGAGGUGAAAUUCUUGGAUUUAUUGAAGACUAACUACUGCGAAAGCAUUUGCCAAGGAUGUUUUCAUUAAUCAAGAACGAAAGUUAGGGGAUCGAAGACGAUCAGAUACCGUCGUAGUCUUAACCAUAAACUAUGCCGACUAGGAAUCAGA